This 478-nucleotide long non-coding RNA is filed under the name Homo sapiens (human). RNAcentral describes it as "HSALNT0169214". Lineage: Eukaryota; Metazoa; Chordata; Mammalia; Primates; Hominidae. The record is from RNAcentral.
GAUGGCCAGACAUACACAUGAAAGAGGCUUGGGGGCAUAUCACCUCAGAGAGAAAGAGAAACUCCUACGGGGUUUGAAUCGAUCAUCAAGAAGCUAUUUUAGUUUCAUCUACUAUGAAAGCCUGUGGGGUCUCACCCCUUCUGGAUUGCUGAGGAAGGUUGUUCUGAACACGCCGGGGAGUGAGAGAGAGUGAAUAGGCAGGAGAACGUCAGGAUCUCCAGACUUUUAGACAAGGAGGCCCUGGGGCACAAAAAAUAGUCCGAAUGCAUAAGACCUAGUAUUUGCUAGCACAACAGGGUGACUCCCCUCAAAAAUGAUUGAAUCGUACAUUUAAAAAUCGCUAAAGAGUAUAACUGGAUUGUUUGCAACACAAAUGAUAAAUGCUUGAGGGGAUGGAUACUCCAUUUACUCUGCUGUGAUUAUCAUGCACUGCACGCCUGUAUCAAAAUAUCUCAUAAAACCCAUAAAUAUAUCCACC